Long non-coding RNA from Daphnia carinata, 642 nucleotides. RefSeq lists it as uncharacterized. The record is from RefSeq and is a predicted model, not a curated record. NCBI's taxonomy places the organism in Eukaryota, Metazoa, Arthropoda, Branchiopoda, Diplostraca, Daphniidae. The transcript is spliced from 3 exons.
CUUGAACACUGGAUUUGCAAAUGCAGAACAGCUGACUUAUGUUUCACAUGGUCAGUUGGAGAUUUCCCAUGCAAAAUUUCUAGUAACUCAGCAUUUGAUUGACACAUCAGUGAGGAAGGUUCAGUUUAGUUCCUCAUAUUGUAGUUUCACCCCAUGUGUCAUUUGUACCAAUUGUAGAUAUUGUCCAUAACAAGUCUUCAUGUUUCAUCUUGCCAGUGGUGCUGAUACUUUUUUUAUCACAACCGCUUGUUUCAGCUGUUCCAAGUAUUGAAGCAUUACUUAUGCAAGUACUUAGAGAGGGCUGCCCAUUACAAAAGAAGAGCUUAUCACGAUGCUAUGAUGGUAUGUUUGCAAAACUGGAAAAAAUUCUGUGCUAUGGUGGCAUUAAGUAUGUGCUCAACAUUUUGAAAAAUGUGAACAGCAAAAACAGUUGGUCAGAAUUUCAAAUGUCAAAAGUACUUAUUUCUGGAAAAUCAGUUAAUCUACAUCCUGAUUUUCUGCUGUUCCAUCAGUCACUAUGCAGUGUGUUUGGACAACCUAAGCAUUUUAAAAUCAGACUGCUUCAGUUUAUAUCGAAGAUGUAUUGCUUGUCAUACCCUGUGACCAACUUCACAGGACUAUGUUGUAAGUUAGUAUCACUUU